GGCUGCUCGAUUUUAAGACCAGUCUGGCCUGCCCACUGAUUUUUUUAAAGGGCCGCGGUAUUCUGACCGUGCGAAGGUAGCAAAAUAAUUAGUCUUUUAAUUGAAGACCAGAAUGAAAGGUCGGACAAAAAGCAACCUCUCUCAACUUAACUUAUUUAAAUUAACUUUUAAGUGAAAAGGCUUAAAUACUCUUAUAGGACGAUAAGACCCUAUAAAACUUUAUUUUCUGUAAAUAUCUUUCGAUAUAUAUGUGAAAAGCCGGAUAUUAGAAAGUCUAUUUCGUUGGGGCAACGUAAGUAUAACAUUUAACUGCUUAAAUUUUAACCACUAAUAUGUGUUUAUAUUGAUCCUUAAUAAAGAUUCAAAGAAAAAGUUACUUUAGGGAUAACAGCGUUAUUUUUUUUAUGAGUCCAUAUCGACAAAAAAGUUUGCGACCUCGAUGUUGAAUUAAAAUUCUCCUUGUAGUGCAGCAGCUAUAAAGGUAGGUCUGUUCGACCUUUAAAAUUUUACAUGAUUUGAGUUCAAACCGGUGUAAG
This 536-nucleotide ribosomal RNA is filed under the name Neocallichirus calmani. RNAcentral's name for it is "partial large subunit ribosomal RNA". It matches the Rfam family "Bacterial large subunit ribosomal RNA", at positions 1832 to 2625 of the family's 2925-position model. Lineage: Eukaryota; Metazoa; Arthropoda; Malacostraca; Decapoda; Callianassidae. The record is from RNAcentral.